This 805-nucleotide ribosomal RNA is filed under the name uncultured Clostridia bacterium. Its description in RNAcentral is "bacterial SSU rRNA". It matches the Rfam family "Bacterial small subunit ribosomal RNA", at positions 90 to 896 of the family's 1533-position model. Lineage: Bacteria; Bacillati; Bacillota; Clostridia. The record is from RNAcentral.
AUGCAGCGGCGGAGGGGUGCAGUAACGCGUGGGUAACCUGCCCUCAUACACAUGGAUAACAUACUGCAAAAACGUUUACUACAUACACUUGACUAACUAUAUAUUUACCGGCAUCGUCAGCAUAUAUCAAAGUGUUCAGCGGUCAUACGGACGGACCCGCGUCUGAUUCAGCUCAGUUGGUGCACGAUAACUGCCCACCAAGGCCGACGAUCAGUAGCCGACCUGAGAGGGUGAUCGGCCACAUUGGAACUGAGACACGGUCCAAACUCCUACGGGAGGCACCAUGGGGAAUAUUGCACAAUGGGCGCAAGCCUGAUGCAGCAACGCCGCGUGAACGAUGAAGGUCUUCGGAUCGUAAAGUUCUGUUGCAGGGGAAGAUAAUGACGGUACCCUGUGAGGAAGCCCCGGCUAACUACGUGCCAGCAGCCCGGUAAUACGUAGGGGGCUAGCGUUAUCCGGAUUUACUGGGCGUAAAGGGUGCGUAGGUGGUCUUUCAAGUCGGUGGUUAAAGGCUACGGCUCAACCGUAGUUAGCCUCCGAAACUGGAAGACUUGAGUGCAGGAGAGGAAAGUGGAAUUCCCAGUGUAGCGGUGAAAUGCGUAGAUAUUGGGAGGAACACCAGUAGCGAGGGCGGCUUUCUGGACUGCAACUGACACUGAGGCACGAAAGCGUGGGUAGCAAACAGGAUUAGAUACCCUGGUAGUCCACGCUGUAAACGAUGAGUACUAGGUGUCGGGGGUUACCCCCCUCGGUGCCGCGGCUAACGCAUUAAGUACUCCGCCUGGGGAGUACGCACGCAAGUGUG